Molecule: ribosomal RNA, 516 nt
Filed under: uncultured bacterium
Lineage: Bacteria
Description: partial 16S ribosomal RNA
Rfam family: Bacterial small subunit ribosomal RNA
Source: RNAcentral
GACGAACGCUGGCGGCAUGCCUAAUACAUGCAAGUCGAGCGGAGUUGAUGGAAAGCUUGCUUUCCUGAUACUUAGCGGCGGACGGGUGAGUAACACGUAGGCAACCUGCCCUCAAGCUUGGGACAACUACCGGAAACGGUAGCUAAUACCGAAUACUUGUUUUCUUCGCCUGAAGAGAACUGGAAAGACGGAGCAAUCUGUCACUUGGGGAUGGGCCUGCGGCGCAUUAGCUAGUUGGUGAGGUAACGGCUCACCAAGGCGACGAUGCGUAGCCGACCUGAGAGGGUGAUCGGCCACACUGGGACUGAGACACGGCCCAGACUCCUACGGGAGGCAGCAGUAGGGAAUCUUCCGCAAUGGGCGAAAGCCUGACGGAGCAAUGCCGCGUGAGUGAUGAAGGUUUUCGGAUCGUAAAGCUCUGUUGCCAGGGAAGAACGCUUGAGAGAGUAACUGCUCUCAAGGUGACGGUACCUGAGAAGAAAGCCCCGGCUAACUACGUGCCAGCCGCCGCCGUAA